RNAcentral lists this long non-coding RNA (278 nucleotides) under Parus major (Great Tit). Its description in RNAcentral is "lncRNA (ENSPMJG00000017123.1)". Lineage: Eukaryota; Metazoa; Chordata; Aves; Passeriformes; Paridae. The record is from RNAcentral.
GUCCUAGAGGAAUUAGAACUGCAUGAUCAAAGUGUCAGACUUGUCCAUCAAAUCUCCUAUUUUUCUAAGUCAUGUGAAAACUUACCAGAGUUCUUCAGUUACUGUAUCAAUCUAGCAAUCAAAGCAAUUGGUUCUCUCUAGCAAAGAGCAUCGUAGCUGGCUCAGAUGUGAUCAAAGGUGAGGCAUCAAUUAAAGAUGGCUUCUUCCCUAACCAAGAUGCUGAAGAAGGAAACCAGGUGAGCCCUUUCAGAUGGAAAACGUUGGUCCAUGACAUCCAG